This 1479-nucleotide long non-coding RNA is filed under the name Anas platyrhynchos platyrhynchos (common mallard). RNAcentral describes it as "lncRNA (ENSAPLG00000031211.1)". The record is from RNAcentral. Lineage: Eukaryota; Metazoa; Chordata; Aves; Anseriformes; Anatidae.
UUCCGAAAGCUGAAAAAUGUCACUAUUGAUUACCUGGAAGCAAUCAGAAAUUUUCGUCAAAUUUUGAAAGAUUUUGGUGUGCUUUUCUUUUCGGUGGCUGCAUCGAAGUUCAGGGAAGGAAGGCUGCCCUCAUAGCUGGUGGUUAAUGGCAAUUCUGCAAAUAACUGACGCACGCAGACAUAGUUAAGACUGGAAGAAGGAGCCUUCAGAGACUACUAAAUAAGAAAGAAAGAGUGUUAGGCAGUUCCUGGAGUCUGUGAGAGUAUUUUAGAGAUAUACAGGUACAAAGUACGUGCUUUCCCUGCUCUUACACUUCUCUGUAGACGUCCAUUGCUGACCUUGGUCCCAGACAAUAGAAAUCUGGGUUUUAAUUUGGGAGACGUUCAGUGUAAGGGGAUUUGAUUUGCAUGUGUUCACCUGGGGCAGACAGCCCUCCUGUUCAUGAUUCACCUGAUGCAAGCACUUGAGUGCCAAGCACAACGCAAUCACCUGGUGGCUGGGACAGGUCUCGUGUGCUGGGGCGAGGACACCUGGUUCUCUUCUCAUGGGUGGGGAAGUAGUCCAUGGAAACAGGAGCACUGAGAGAGGGAGAGCAAAUUCUUUCCAAAUGUGAUAUAAAAUCAAGCCCCAGAGACAAGAGCAGUGCUUUGUGGAGGAGUCACCGAGGCGCAGUGCACCAACCCCAGCGGGCGGAGGACGCAUUGUGCUCGGCACCGCUUGCUGCCAGGGAGCCCGGCUACAGGAGGAGCCCUCGCUGCAGCAGCUGCAGGAAAUUAAAUCCACAUAGAGGUAAUUUUCUAUCAGAGAGUGACCUUGGUAACCAAAGAAAAACUCUGCACCCUGACUCUUUUACUGCUUUCCAAAGGCAGACCCCAUGUCAGCCCUUAACGUGAAGGCAGUCCCAGCAGCCUGGUGUUCCUGGGCAUCCCUGGGUGCAUCCCUACUCUGCUCAGGGCUGGCAUUGCACUCCUUGGUGCAUCUUCUAGUACUAGAAUUUCCUGGAUCAUCAUAGCUAUGUGUUCUGUCACAUCUAACUGCUUGCCUCGGAAGCAGCUCACUUUGGUUACAGCACAGCCAAUAAGCAGGUUAAUUAACCCAAAGCACAUUGCCCAAAGUGUUCAUUAGCUCCAGCCAUCCUUCGUCUCAGAUAAAGUCCUGGUUUCCCAGGUGGGCUGGGAUGCUUUCCAAGCAGACUCUGGGGAUUUUUCCAGCCCUCCCCAUCCUCCGGGGACACAGCUCUGCACAGGGAGACCUGUGCUGCUGGGAGAGCUUCGUUUCUCCAUUGGAAAAGCAAAGAAACUGUACUGGGACAACAGAUUAAACCAGGAAAGGUUUUUGGGAUGUAGGGGGUGUCAUCUGCCCAUCGGUGCCAGGGCUGGUCUGGACACAGGUGGGUAAUGGGCAGGUUAAAGCAGUUUUGGAGAUGGCCCAAUACCUACGGGGACCUUUUCUACCUUUAUUUCAUUUAUUUUUAUUUUU